RNAcentral lists this ribosomal RNA (253 nucleotides) under uncultured bacterium. RNAcentral describes it as "partial 16S ribosomal RNA". It matches the Rfam family "Bacterial small subunit ribosomal RNA", at positions 524 to 776 of the family's 1533-position model. The record is from RNAcentral.
UACGGGGGGGGCAAGCGUUGUUCGGAAUUACUGGGCGUAAAGGGCUCGUAGGUGGCCAACUAAGUCAGACGUGAAAUCCCCAGGCUCAACUUGGGAACUGCGUCUGAUACUGGAUGGCUUGAAUUCGGGAGAGGGAUGCAGAAUUCCACGUGUAGCAGUGAAAUGCGUAGAUAUGUGGAGGAACACCGAUGGCGAAGGCAGCCCCCUGGGUCAAGACUGACGCUCAUGCACGAAAGCGUGGGGAGCAAACAGG